GAUGAACGCUGGCGGCGUGCCUAACACAUGCAAGUCGAGCGAUCUUCUUCGGAAGAGAGCGGCGGACGGGUGAGUAACGCGUGGGUAACCUGCCCUGUACACACGGAUAACAUACCGAAAGGUAUGCUAAUACGAGAUAAUAUACUUUUAUCGCAUGGUAGAAGUAUCAAAGCUCCGGCGGUACAGGAUGGACCCGCGUCUGAUUAGCUAGUUGGUAAGGUAACGGCUUACCAAGGCGACGAUCAGUAGCCGACCUGAGAGGGUGAUCGGCCACAUUGGAACUGAGACACGGUCCAAACUCCUACGGGAGGCCGCAGUGGGGAAUAUUGCACAAUGGGCGAAAGCCUGAUGCAGCAACGCCGCGUGAGCGAUGAAGGCCUUCGGGUCGUAAGGCUCUGUCCUCAAGGAAGAUAAUGACGGUACUUGAGGAGGAAGCCCCGGCUAACUACGUGCCAGCCGCCGCGGUAA
RNAcentral lists this ribosomal RNA (468 nucleotides) under uncultured bacterium. RNAcentral's name for it is "partial 16S ribosomal RNA". It matches the Rfam family "Bacterial small subunit ribosomal RNA", at positions 28 to 523 of the family's 1533-position model. The record is from RNAcentral.